AUGUCGGUUUUCCACCGACAUUAAAGACUAAGCUUUAAUGUCGGUUUUAAACCGACAUUAAAGGUCCGCCAUUUUGAAAACCGACAUUAAAGGUCCAUUUAAUUUUUUUUUAAUAAUUUUAUUUUGUGAAAAAAUAAUAGUCUCUCUCUUACUUUACUCUUUCGACCCUCUCCUACUCGCGCAAUCCCUUUUCUUCUCCAAAUGAAUUCGUCCAUUUCUUCUUCGGCGACUUUUUCUUCUCCGAUGCCCGUUCCUUCUCCGACUUUUUCUCAUUGUUUUUCUCAUCUUCUUUUCUUUUUCUGAAUCCUUCCCAUAUUCAUCCAAAGGCAUGCUCAUCCACUUUCUGUAGAGGGUUUAGGGUCGAAUCACCAUCGCUCUCUAUUUUCUCUUCUUCUUCGAUAGUUCCGUCACUCUCUUCUUAUGGAUUGUUGGUCCCUUUCUCUCCCUCUCGACGACGAGUUCAAGAAGCUCGUCAAUCGUAUGAACCCUCACAGGGUUACCAUUGAUAAUGAUUCCAUCAGAAAAGCUACUCCGAUUAAGGUCUUUUUUUUUUCUACUUCAAUUAUUAUUUAUCCCUUCCAUUAAGCCCUUUCAUUGCAUCAGCAAGCAGCCGAAAACCAACUCCGGCAGCAGCUCAACUCACCAACCGUGCUGCUGUUCUCAUCUGCCUCUUCCUAACCGACAUUGGCGAGCUCCGCGUCAUCCUCACAAAGCGAGCCUCUACGCUUUCUUCCCACUCUGGGUGCAGGGGAAGUUGCACUCCCUGGCGGAAAAAGGGACCUGAGUGAUGCAGACGAUGUUGCGACGGCAUUGAGGGAGGCAGAGGAGGAAAUUGGAUUAGCCCCUGCUCUCCCCUAAUUGGAGAAGUUCUACUAGACGGACGUGACAUAAAAACUUUGAAGCUGAGAUGGUUAAGGCAGCAGAUAGGAUUGGUGAGCCAAGAACCUGCUCUUUUCGCUACCACCAUCAAGGAGAAUAUACUCUUAGGCAGACCUGAGGCAGACCAACUUGAGGUGGAGGAAGCUGCUCGAGUCGCCAAUGCUCAUUCAUUCAUUAUCAAACUUCCUGAAGGCUAUGACACCCAGAAGGGUAUGACUGUAGUUCCUGUCCUUGGUAAGUUUAUCUAGCAAGGAAGCAUUCAAUCCAACUCCAAAUGCUGGUGAAGUAGAUGCAGUAUUUGAUGUUCCCUUGGAAAUGUUCCUUAAGGAUGAGAAAAGAAGAGCAGUGGAGAAGGAAUGGAUGGGAUAUAAUUAUCUACUACACUUUUUUGACUACGAAUGGAGAUAUCACUAAACAAAUGACUGCAAUAGAAGAAAUGGUUGCAAGUGAGUACAAUUAGCCAGACCCUUAUCUUUGUGACAAGAUCUUGAAGAUGGUCAUUUGUGAAGCGUUCUAGUUUGCUAUUAGUUGCAAUUUUAGUUAUUGCUCUCUCAAUAUAUUCUUUUUCUUUCUUUCUUUCUUUUUUUCCAAAGGAUGAUCAAUGUAUAAUAAUUAAGCUUCAUAACUUCUUUGUAUUUGGAGCCAAGUUGUAUAUAAAUGUACACAUUAUUAAGAUUUCAUUUUGUAUAUGUACAAGUAAAAGAUUUCAUUUUUAA
Molecule: long non-coding RNA, 1595 nt
Organism: Cucumis melo (muskmelon)
Lineage: Eukaryota; Viridiplantae; Streptophyta; Magnoliopsida; Cucurbitales; Cucurbitaceae
Exons: 8
Source: RefSeq, a predicted model, not a curated record